RNAcentral lists this transfer RNA (19 nucleotides) under Rubus crataegifolius. Its description in RNAcentral is "partial tRNA-Phe". The record is from RNAcentral. Lineage: Eukaryota; Viridiplantae; Streptophyta; Magnoliopsida; Rosales; Rosaceae.
GAUGAUGCGUCGUGAUGGU